Molecule: long non-coding RNA, 585 nt
Organism: Cercocebus atys (sooty mangabey)
Lineage: Eukaryota; Metazoa; Chordata; Mammalia; Primates; Cercopithecidae
Exons: 3
Source: RefSeq, a predicted model, not a curated record
AUUUAUCCAGAUAUUUAUUAUUUUGGGCACUCUUCAUGCUUUCCUGAGGAUCCGAGUUUCCAUAUGAUAAUAUUGCCCACCCGCCAAACAAACUAACCCUGAAAAUGGAUGGUGCUGGAGGAGCAGAAAAGGAUUGAGCAGAUGGCGUCAUUCCCCAUUUUUCAACCCCCCAACCCCAAGCUCCCAGCCCUGCAGAUGCUCUGCCCUGAGACUUGAAGCCUGGGGCACAGGCCUGUUUGGAGCCAAUGCAGGCGCAGAUCUUGGCGGUCGAAGCAAAUAUUCAGAUGAGAACUUUGAAGGCCGAUGUGGGGAAGAGUUCCAUGUGAACAGCAUGACAGCCGAGGCCAAAUGUGGAGAUGGCAUAACCAGAAGAGGGAACGAACUGGCCUGGAUGUGACUCAUACUUGGAAGGGAGCUGUCUGGAAAGGCCACAGUACCUGCAGCCAACUUUGUACUGCCUCCCAGCUAGAUCCUGUCUCUUAGGAACUUUUACCAAGAGCUAGAACGGAAAGGACAUGGAAGGAAGGAGAGGAGAAGUGGGAAGACAAGAAAGUAUUUACCGAGCUGGUCUACUCUCUGGGCUAA